CAAGAGUUGAAAAACUCCCUAAACCCACUGUGAACCUACCUGUAUUUGUUGCUUCGGCGGGCUGCCCCAGGGCGGGGUUCUAGGCCUUAUAGGUGCCCGCCGACGGCCCAUUACAAACUCUUUUGUUAUUUGGGUGCUCUGAGUGAAGAUCAAAUGAGUCA
RNAcentral lists this unclassified non-coding RNA (161 nucleotides) under uncultured Sordariomycetes. Its description in RNAcentral is "sequence contains ITS1". Lineage: Eukaryota; Fungi; Ascomycota; Sordariomycetes. The record is from RNAcentral.